RNAcentral lists this ribosomal RNA (492 nucleotides) under uncultured bacterium. Its description in RNAcentral is "partial 16S ribosomal RNA". It matches the Rfam family "Bacterial small subunit ribosomal RNA", at positions 29 to 507 of the family's 1533-position model. The record is from RNAcentral.
AGUGAACGCUGGCGGUAGGCCUAACACAUGCAAGUCGAACGGCAGCACAGUAAGAGCUUGCUCUUACGGGUGGCGAGUGGCGGACGGGUGAGGAAUACAUCGGAAUCUACUUUUUCGUGGGGGAUAACGUAGGGAAACUUACGCUAAUACCGCAUACUACCUACGGGUGAAAUCAGGGGAUCUUCGGACCUUGCGCGAUUGAAUGAGCCGAUGUCGGAUUAGCUAGUUGGCGGGGUAAAGGCCCACCAAGGCGACGAUCCGUAGCUGGUCUGAGAGGAUGAUCAGCCACACUGGAACUGAGACACGGUCCAGACUCCUACGGGAGGCAGCAGUGGGGAAUCUUGGACAAUGGGCGCAAGCCUGAUCCAGCCAUACCGCGUGGGUGAAGAAGGCCUUCGGGUUGUAAAGCCCUUUUGUUGGGAAAGAAAAGAAGCAGGUUAAUCCCCCGCUGUUCUGACGGUACCCAAAGAAUAAGCACCGGCUAACUUCGUG